Molecule: ribosomal RNA, 135 nt
Filed under: Chitinophagaceae bacterium
Lineage: Bacteria; Pseudomonadati; Bacteroidota; Chitinophagia; Chitinophagales; Chitinophagaceae
Description: partial 23S ribosomal RNA
Rfam family: Bacterial large subunit ribosomal RNA
Source: RNAcentral
AACGUCUAUUAUAUUGACCCGGUAUUUUUUCAAGGAAAAUUUAUCGAUCAUCGGAUAAAAGGUACGCUAGGGAUAACAGGCUAAUGAAUCUUGAGAGUUCUUAUUGAUGGGUUUGUUUGGCACCUCGAUGUCGAC